RNAcentral lists this transfer RNA (71 nucleotides) under Cavia porcellus (domestic guinea pig). It matches the Rfam family "tRNA". From Rfam's summary of the family: Transfer RNA (tRNA) molecules are approximately 80 nucleotides in length. Their secondary structure includes four short double-helical elements and three loops (D, anti-codon, and T loops). The record is from Rfam by way of RNAcentral. Lineage: Eukaryota; Metazoa; Chordata; Mammalia; Rodentia; Caviidae.
AGGGAUUUAGCUCAGUGUCUUAAGCGCCUGCCUGGCAAGUACGAGGUCGGGAAUUCAAUUCCCAAUACCAA